GCAAAACCAACUAAACCAUAUCCUGUACUACUUUCUUAAAAAUGAGCCAAGCAAAUCGUGAGCUACACUGAGCUUGACUCACUAAAUGCUUGCUUGAGUUCGUUCCUUAAGGUUAGUGAAUCAAAGUCAAGUGCACUUUGGGAACUCUUUAUAUAAAUGAACCAAACUUGAGUUCAGUGAAGUUUAGCUCAUUGACACUUGUGAACUGGCUCGUGAGUCAAAUCAUAUAUAAUUAUAAAUUAUUCUCAUUAAUGAUUUGAUUUUGAGUAUCAUUUUUAUGGUUAUCUACUUAUGAUCUGUUUCAAAUUUCUGAUUCAUAUAAAAAAAAUUUACUGUUAUUAAUUUUAUAUACUACAAGUGUAGUUUGUAAAAGAUUAACAUUUUUUCUGUUAUACAUGCUAAUAUUAGCAAGAGUGAGAAAUGGCCAAGCCUGUUAAAUUCGUUUUUAAGUGUGUGAUUUUUUGAAUAAUUGUGAAAAGUUUUUAUUACUACUUAAAGUUUGUUCAGAAAGAUAAUGGCUUGAUUUUAACUCAUUUAGGCUUGUGAUCUGAAUUCAU
Molecule: unclassified non-coding RNA, 557 nt
Filed under: Hevea brasiliensis (rubber tree)
Lineage: Eukaryota; Viridiplantae; Streptophyta; Magnoliopsida; Malpighiales; Euphorbiaceae
Source: RNAcentral